This 558-nucleotide long non-coding RNA is filed under the name Phoenix dactylifera (date palm). RNAcentral describes it as "long non-coding RNA (PDAC_LNC005884)". Lineage: Eukaryota; Viridiplantae; Streptophyta; Magnoliopsida; Arecales; Arecaceae. The record is from RNAcentral.
AUUCUGAAUUUCAUAAAGAUUUUCAAUAGAGGCUUUCAAAGUCAUAAUUUGAGAUAUGUAUCUUCCACAUUGUAGCUCAUCUUAAAUCAUUACGAUUGAAAACACAUAUUUCAAACAUAUAAGAGCAUAUUCAGAAUAUUUGUAUUUAUUAUUGAGUUUUGAUACAAAAUGGAGGAUAUUUUAACAAGUAUUAGGAUAUUAUGUAUCAAAGUUAGGCAAGUAGAAAGAUAGAUCAAGAUCAAUUCAUUUUGCCUAAAUAGAGAUAUUGUGGAGUGAUCGAUUAAAACCCCGUUUGAUUUUGAUGAGCUCAAAGCAUUUGAGUAUAUCUUGUGAUUACUAAUGAAUUCAAUUGAGUGUUUCAGUGAAAAUCCUGUCCAAGUGUCUCUAGACUUGGUUCAUAGCAUUUUGGAUAAGUUAAGAAGUCUGCAUGAACCAAUGUCUGAGAUACGAGUCGACUCCAAGCGUAUCAAGGUCACUGGCACGAGCUCGAGUCGACUCCUGAUCAGUACGAGUCGACUCCGACUGAAAACAGACAGAAGGACAGAAGAGCAGUUUUUC